This 205-nucleotide ribosomal RNA is filed under the name Salmonella enterica subsp. enterica serovar Kentucky. RNAcentral describes it as "partial 23S ribosomal RNA". It matches the Rfam family "Bacterial large subunit ribosomal RNA", at positions 373 to 580 of the family's 2925-position model. Lineage: Bacteria; Pseudomonadati; Pseudomonadota; Gammaproteobacteria; Enterobacterales; Enterobacteriaceae. The record is from RNAcentral.
CCGUACACAAAAGCGCAUGUGCUGUGAGCUCGAUGAGUAGGGCGGGACACGUGGUAUCCUGUCUGAAUAUGGGGGGACCAUCCUCCAAGGCUAAAUACUCCUGACUGACCGAUAGUGAACCAGUACCGUGAGGGAAAGGCGAAAAGAACCCCGGCGAGGGGAGUGAAAAAGAACCUGAAACCGUGUACGUACAAGCAGUGGGAGC